This 433-nucleotide ribosomal RNA is filed under the name uncultured bacterium. RNAcentral's name for it is "partial 16S ribosomal RNA". It matches the Rfam family "Bacterial small subunit ribosomal RNA", at positions 29 to 507 of the family's 1533-position model. The record is from RNAcentral.
AACGAACGCUGGCGGCAUGCCUAACACAUGCAAGUCGAACGAGACCUUCGGGUCUAGUGGCGCACGGGUGCGUAACGCGUGGGAACCUGCCCUUAGGUUCGGAAUAACUCCCCGAAAGGGGUGCUAAUACCGGAUCAUGUCUUCGGACCAAAGAUUUAUCGCCUUUGGAUGGGCCCGCGUUGGAUUAGCUAGUUGGUAGGGUAAAAGCCUACCAAGGCGACGAUCCAUAGAUGGUCUGAGAGGAUGAUCAGCCACACUGGGACUGAGACACGGCCCAGACUCCUACGGGAGGCAGCAGUGGGGAAUAUUGGACAAUGGGCGAAAGCCUGAUCCAGCAAGGCCGCGUGAGUGAUGAAGGCCUUAGGGUUGUAAAGCUCUUUUACCCGGGAUGAUAAUGACAGUACCGGGAGAAUAAGCUCCGGCUAACUCCGUG